This 592-nucleotide ribosomal RNA is filed under the name Pseudomonas brassicacearum. Its description in RNAcentral is "bacterial SSU rRNA". It matches the Rfam family "Bacterial small subunit ribosomal RNA", at positions 189 to 762 of the family's 1533-position model. Lineage: Bacteria; Pseudomonadati; Pseudomonadota; Gammaproteobacteria; Pseudomonadales; Pseudomonadaceae. The record is from RNAcentral.
ACGUCCUACGGGAGAAAGCAGGGGACCUUCGGGCCUUGCGCUAUCAGAUGAGCCUAGGUCGGAUUAGCUAGUUGGUGGGGUAAUGGCUCACCAAGGCGACGAUCCGUAACUGGUCUGAGAGGAUGAUCAGUCACACUGGAACUGAGACACGGUCCAGACUCCUACGGGAGGCAGCAGUGGGGAAUAUUGGACAAUGGGCGAAAGCCUGAUCCAGCCAUGCCGCGUGUGUGAAGAAGGUCUUCGGAUUGUAAAGCACUUUAAGUUGGGAGGAAGGGCAUUAACCUAAUACGUUAGUGUUUUGACGUUACCGACAGAAUAAGCACCGGCUAACUCUGUGCCAGCAGCCGCGGUAAUACAGAGGGUGCAAGCGUUAAUCGGAAUUACUGGGCGUAAAGCGCGCGUAGGUGGUUCGUUAAGUUGGAUGUGAAAGCCCCGGGCUCAACCUGGGAACUGCAUUCAAAACUGUCGAGCUAGAGUAUGGUAGAGGGUGGUGGAAUUUCCUGUGUAGCGGUGAAAUGCGUAGAUAUAGGAAGGAACACCAGUGGCGAAGGCGACCACCUGGACUGAUACUGACACUGAGGUGCGAAAGCGU